This 950-nucleotide long non-coding RNA is filed under the name Volvox carteri. Its description in RNAcentral is "long non-coding RNA (VCAR_LNC004326)". The record is from RNAcentral. Lineage: Eukaryota; Viridiplantae; Chlorophyta; Chlorophyceae; Chlamydomonadales; Volvocaceae.
GAAGGUGACCCCAAAGGUUACCUUUGGGGGGACGCGCUUAUUUGUGUUCAACGGCCCCCGUGUAGCUCAGUAAGGUAGUUAAGGUUUGUUAGUACACCUUGUGGAAUGUCGUNUACGUUGUAGUUAAACUAUACGCCUCGUUGUCUAUAGGACUACGUUAGGGCUAAGCCCAGAACUACUUUGUAGUUUAAUAAAGUUUAACUAAAUAAACUACUAGAGGGGGGGCCUAACGAUAACUCCGUUAGAACUACACAACUUAACAAAGUUCGUUGGACCAUCCAGCCUAGGACAGAGACUUCAAAACUAUAUAAAACAUAUUAUAUGUUUGUUAACAAGAAUUAAAUAAAAUAUUUUUUUGUUAUAAUAUAAAUAUAUAUUUAUUUAUUUACCUUGAUCAAGACACGGCUAAAACCUUCGUAACAUAGGCGCUUAUAUACCCCAAUACAGUUGAAGUAAUAAGAAAUCUUUGGUUGUUUGUGGAUUUCUUUUAGCCCUUGAGAUAGGUAUUCGCUAUUUUUACGAACAACUUCACCGCGUUAGCGCUGUGAGUCGCGCGUUGGCUAAACGAGGGCGAAGCCCGCGUUAAAUUACAAGUCGUUGAAGCGAAGCUUCUGUUUUGUGCCCAAGCGGACGUCUCAUGAGUAUCCGACUUACGGCAGUAUGGUUUAACAAAGUUUGUUAAGCUACAAAGUACCUCCGACAUGCCAAUAUUAUGAUGAUGCACGUAGCUUAAUACUAAGCCAACAACCUAAUCACAAGAAGCGCAAAGUCUGAAGCCACAAGUACAGUUUACGGCGUCGUGGGACCAAGAGCCUAGCACACCUAAAGGUGACUAGCAAGGCCCUUGGUCGUGACGUAUAUUUAACGUAUGAACGCCAAUGGCAUAAGGUAACUUAACAUGGUUACGUUUGGAGAAGCCAACUAGUUGUGAAGUAAGCGUCUGUGCUGCU